RNAcentral lists this ribosomal RNA (700 nucleotides) under uncultured Bacteroidota bacterium. RNAcentral describes it as "bacterial SSU rRNA". It matches the Rfam family "Bacterial small subunit ribosomal RNA", at positions 82 to 780 of the family's 1533-position model. The record is from RNAcentral. Lineage: Bacteria; Pseudomonadati; Bacteroidota.
GUCUGACAUGAAACCGGCGCACGGGUGCGUAACACGUAUGCAACCUACCUUUAACUGGGGUAUAGCUCAGAGAAAUCUGAAUUAAUCCCCCAUAAGACUACGACAUGGCAUCAUGAUGUAGUUAAAGCUCCGGCGGUUAAGGAUGGGCAUGCGGUACAUUAGCUAGUUGGUGAGGUAAUGGCUCACCAAGGCUACGAUGUAUAGGGGGUCUGAGAGGAUGAUCCCCCACACUGGUACUGAGACACGGACCAGACUCCUACGGGAGGCAGCAGUAGGGAAUAUUGGUCAAUGGACGCAAGUCUGAACCAGCCAUGCCGCGUGAAGGAUGAAGGCCCUCUGGGUCGUAAACUUCUUUUAUUAGGGAAGAAAACAUGGGAUGCGUCCCAAACUGACGGUACUUAAUGAAUAAGGAUCGGCUAACUUCGUGCCAGCAGCCGCGGUAAGACGAAGGAUCCAAGCGUUGUCCGGAUUUACUGGGUUUAAAGGGUGCGUAGGCGGAAAAUUAAGUCAGUGGUGAAAGCCCGCAGCUCAACUGUGGAACUGCCAUUGAAACUGAUUUUCUUGAAUAUAGCUGAGGCAGAUGGAAUAUAACAUGUAGCGGUGAAAUGCUUAGAUAUGUUAUAGAACACCGAUUGCGAAGGCAGUCUGCUAAACUAUUAUUGACGCUGAGGCACGAAAGCGUGGGGAGUGAACAGGAUUA